Molecule: ribosomal RNA, 253 nt
Filed under: uncultured bacterium
Lineage: Bacteria
Description: partial 16S ribosomal RNA
Rfam family: Bacterial small subunit ribosomal RNA
Source: RNAcentral
UACGGAGGGUGCAAGCGUUGCCCGGAUUUAUUGGGUUUAAAGGGUGCGUAGGCGGUCUUUUAAGUCAGCGGUGAAAUCCUCCAGCUUAACUGGAGAACUGCCAUUGAUACUGGAAGACUUGAGUAUAGUUGAGGUAGGCGGAAUUGACGGUGUAGCGGUGAAAUGCAUAGAUAUCGUCAAGAACCCCGAUUGCGAAGGCAGCUUACUAAACUAUAACUGACGCUGAGGCACGAAAGUGCGGGGAUCAAACAGG